ACGCUGGCGGCGUGCCUAAUACAUGCAAGUAGAACGCUGAAGGAGGAACUUGCUUCUCUGGAUGAGUUGCGAACGGGUGAGUAACGCGUAGGUAACCUGCCUGGUAGCGGGGGAUAACUAUUGGAAACGAUAGCUAAUACCGCAUAAUAGUAGAUGUUGCAUGACAUUUGCUUAAAAGAUGCAAUUGCAUCACUACCAGAUGGACCUGCGUUGUAUUAGCUAGUUGGUGGGGUAACGGCUCACCAAGGCGACGAUACAUAGCCGACCUGAGAGGGUGAUCGGCCACACUGGGACUGGGACACGGCCCAGACUCCUACGGGAGGCAGCAGUAGGGAAUCUUCGGCAAUGGACGAAAGUCUGACCGAGCAACGCCGCGUGAGUGAAGAAGGUUUUCGGAUCGUAAAGCUCUGUUGUAAGAGAAGAACGAGUGUGAGAGUGGAAAGUUCACACUGUGACGGUAUCUUACCAGAAAGGGACGGCUAACUACGUGCCAGCGGCCGCGGUAAUACGUAGGUCCCGAGCGUUGUCCGGAUUUAUUGGGCGUAAAGCGAGCGCAGGCGGUUAGAUAAGUCUGAAGUUAAAGGCUGUGGCUUAACCAUAGUACGCUUUGGAAACUGUUUAACUUGAGUGCAAGAGGGGAGAGUGGAAUUCCAUGUGUAGCGGUGAAAUGCGUAGAUAUAUGGAGGAACACCGGUGGCGAAAGCGGCUCUCUGGCUUGUAACUGACGCUGAGGCUCGAAAGCGUGGGGAGCGAACAGGAUUAGAUACCCUGGUAGUCCACGCCGUAAACGAUGAGUGCUAGGUGUUAGACCCUUUCCGGGGUUUAGUGCCGCAGCUAACGCAUUAAGCACUCCGCCUGGGGAGUACGACCGCAAGGUUGAAACUCAAAGGAAUUGACGGGGGCCCGCACAAGCGGUG
This 917-nucleotide ribosomal RNA is filed under the name uncultured bacterium. Its description in RNAcentral is "bacterial SSU rRNA". It matches the Rfam family "Bacterial small subunit ribosomal RNA", at positions 33 to 934 of the family's 1533-position model. The record is from RNAcentral.